RNAcentral lists this ribosomal RNA (253 nucleotides) under uncultured bacterium. RNAcentral's name for it is "partial 16S ribosomal RNA". It matches the Rfam family "Bacterial small subunit ribosomal RNA", at positions 57 to 305 of the family's 1533-position model. The record is from RNAcentral.
GCAAGUCGAGGGGUAACAUUUGUGCUUGCACAAGAUGACGACCGGCGCACGGGUGCGCAACGCGGAUGGAACCUGCCCUGUACAGGGGAAUAGCCCAGAGCAAUUUUGAUUAAUGCCCCGUGGCACCAUGAUACGGCAUCGUAUCUUGGUUAAAGCCUUCGGGCGGUACAGGAUGGCCAUGCGUACCAUUAGCUCGUUGGUGGGGUAACGGCCCACCAAGGCUACGAUGUUUAGGGGCCCUGAGAGGGGGAUC